This is a small nucleolar RNA of Dicentrarchus labrax (European seabass), 217 nucleotides long. The record is from Ensembl. NCBI's taxonomy places the organism in Eukaryota, Metazoa, Chordata, Actinopteri, Moronidae.
AAGACUAUACUUUCAGGGAUCAUUUCUAUAGUUUCUGACUUGAGAAAUGUGUUUCUAAAGUGUUUGGUCUCACUAACCACGAUGAUGAGUCGUGAUAUUUCCUUCUGAGCGUGAAGCUGACAGAGAAUAAUGAUUCAGUUCAUAUGUUCUCUGUCAUUGAUGACCGUUCAUUGUUUCCUAGAGGAGCAUUGAGAAAGGGAAUAUGGUCAGAGUGGUA